RNAcentral lists this ribosomal RNA (253 nucleotides) under uncultured bacterium. RNAcentral's name for it is "partial 16S ribosomal RNA". It matches the Rfam family "Bacterial small subunit ribosomal RNA", at positions 524 to 776 of the family's 1533-position model. The record is from RNAcentral.
UACGUAGGGUGCAAGCGUUAAUCGGAAUUAUUGGGCGUAAAGAGCUCGUAGGCGGUUUGUCGCGUCGAAUGUGAAAACCCGGGGCUCAACCCCGGGCCUGCAUUCGAUACGGGCAGACUAGAGUUCGGUAGGGGAGUCUGGAAUUCCUGGUGUAGCGGUGAAAUGCGCAGAUAUCAGGAGGAACACCGGUGGCGAAGGCGGGACUCUGGGCCGAUACUGACGCUGAGGAGCGAAAGCGUGGGGAGCGAACAGG